AUGUGAUCGUCUCUCGCAUAUCAAUAAGCGGAGGAAAAGAAACUAACAAGGAUUCCCCUAGUAACGGCGAGUGAAGCGGGAAGAGCUCAAAUUUGAAAUCUUAAAGGGUAUCCCUUUACGAAUUGUAGUUUAAAGAAGUGUUUUCUGUUGAGGUUUUGGUAAAAGUUCUUUGGAAUAGGACAUCAUAGAGGGUGAGAAUCCCGUAUUUGACCUUUACUUUCAACUUUGUGAUACACUUUCAAAGAGUCGGAUUGUUUGGGAAUGCAGUCCAAAAUGGGUGGUAAAUUUCAUCUAAAGCUAAAUAUUGGCGAGAGACCGAUAGCGAACAAGUACCGUGAGGGAAAGAUGAAAAGAACUUUGAAAAGAGAGUUAAACAGUACGUGAAAUUGUCAAAAGGGAAGCGUUUGACACCAGUGUUGUUUUUCUGAAAAUCAAUUAAAGAACUGUUUAUGCUAAGCUGUUUAGACUUUAUCAGCUAACUGUUUAGUUUUGAGCUUUUCUUUAAUGCACUUUUCAGUUAACAAGUCAACAUCAAUUUCUUUUGCUGUAAAAAAGCUUGAGGAAGGUGGCUUGAGAUUCGUCUUAAGUGUUUAUAGCCUCUUGCCUAUGCAGUCGGAGAGAUUGAGGUCUGCAGCGUAGAUCCUUCGGGGCUAAAUGCAUUUGUGCUAAGUUAUAGCAUUUUAUAGACAACUUGUUGACUAUGAUUUGUCUUGUAGCUUACUCGCUUAUGUUAUUUUACCUACGCUUAGGAUGUUGAGUAGCGACAUACGCAC
This 773-nucleotide ribosomal RNA is filed under the name uncultured Neocallimastigales. Its description in RNAcentral is "partial large subunit ribosomal RNA". It matches the Rfam family "Eukaryotic large subunit ribosomal RNA", at positions 24 to 649 of the family's 3401-position model. The record is from RNAcentral. Lineage: Eukaryota; Fungi; Neocallimastigomycota; Neocallimastigomycetes; Neocallimastigales.